GAAGCUUGUCACAUUAUUUUGUCUGACCAAGUCUCUGAUGUAUCUGGCAGGAGACAACAGCAUCUGGUUGGCCUUGUCUAGGCAUAAAAGCUAAACAGAAUACCUUCUUAUAGAAAAUACCUUCUAAUCUUUAGAUGAAGACUACAGGUGGAAGUUGAAAUAUGAAGAAAGUUUUAAAAUCACUUCUGAAUGAUUGCCAAGGAGUCAAGUUCAACCAGAUUACAGAUUAACAGAGUUGGAAGGGACCUUGUAGGUCAUCUAGUGCAACCCCCGCUCUCACAGAAGAUCCUACACCAUUUCUGACAAAUGGUAGUCUCUUCUUGAAAGUCUCAAGUGAUGAAGCUCCCACAACUU
Molecule: non-coding RNA, 354 nt
Organism: Pantherophis guttatus
Lineage: Eukaryota; Metazoa; Chordata; Lepidosauria; Squamata; Colubridae
Source: RefSeq, a predicted model, not a curated record